RNAcentral lists this ribosomal RNA (253 nucleotides) under uncultured bacterium. Its description in RNAcentral is "partial 16S ribosomal RNA". It matches the Rfam family "Bacterial small subunit ribosomal RNA", at positions 524 to 776 of the family's 1533-position model. The record is from RNAcentral.
UACGUAGGUGGCAAGCGUUGUUCGGAAUUAUUGGGCGUAAAGGGUGAGUAGGCGGUUUGUUAGGUCGGUCGUGAAAGCCCGGGGCUCAACCCCGGAGGGUCGACCGAUACUGGCAGGCUAGAGUACAGAAGAGGUAACUGGAAUUCCCGGUGUAGAGGUGAAAUUCGUAGAUAUCGGGAGGAACACCAGUGGCGAAGGCGGCUCACUGGACCGGAACUGACGCUGAGGCGCGAAAGCGUGGGGAGCAAACAGG